This 454-nucleotide ribosomal RNA is filed under the name uncultured bacterium. RNAcentral describes it as "bacterial SSU rRNA". It matches the Rfam family "Bacterial small subunit ribosomal RNA", at positions 328 to 795 of the family's 1533-position model. The record is from RNAcentral.
UGUCCAGACUCCUACGGGAGGCAGCAGUGAGGAAUAUUGGUCAAUGGGCGGGAGCCUGAACCAGCCAAGCCGCGUGAAGGAAGAAGGCGCCAGGCGUCGUAAACUUCUUUUGUCGGGGACGAAGAAAGUGACGGUACCUGAGGAAUAAGCCACGGCUAACUACGUGCCAGCAGCCGCGGUAAUACGUAGGUGGCAAGCGUUAUCCGGAUUUAUUGGGUGUAAAGGGCGUGUAGGCGGGAAUGCAAGUCAGAUGUGAAAACUAGGGGCUCAACCCAUAGCCUGCAUUUGAAACUGUAUUUCUUGAGUGCUGGAGAGGCAAUCGGAAUUCCGUGUGUAGCGGUGAAAUGCGUAGAUAUACGGAGGAACACCAGUGGCGAAGGCGGAUUGCUGGACAGUAACUGACGCUGAGGCGCGAAAGCGUGGGGAGCAAACAGGAUUAGAUACCCCAGUAACA